UACGGAGGGUGCAAGCGUUGUCCGGAUUUAUUGGGUUUAAAGGGUGCGUAGGCGGCCCUGUAAGUCAGUGGUGAAAUACUGCAGCUUAACUGUAGCAUUGCCAUUGAUACUGUAGGGCUUGAGUACAGAUGAGGUAGGCGGAAUUGAUGGUGUAGCGGUGAAAUGCAUAGAUACCAUCAAGAACACCGAUUGCGAAGGCAGCUUACUAAGCUGUAACUG
This 219-nucleotide ribosomal RNA is filed under the name uncultured bacterium. Its description in RNAcentral is "partial 16S ribosomal RNA". It matches the Rfam family "Bacterial small subunit ribosomal RNA", at positions 524 to 742 of the family's 1533-position model. The record is from RNAcentral.